RNAcentral lists this ribosomal RNA (521 nucleotides) under uncultured bacterium. RNAcentral's name for it is "bacterial SSU rRNA". It matches the Rfam family "Bacterial small subunit ribosomal RNA", at positions 355 to 895 of the family's 1533-position model. The record is from RNAcentral.
UGGGGAAUAUUGGACAAUGGACCAAGAGUCUGAUCCAGCAAUUCUGUGUGCACGAUGACGUUUUUCGGAAUGUAAAGUGCUUUCAGUUGGGAAGAAGAGAAUGACGGUACCAACAGAAGAAGUGACGGCUAAAUACGUGCCAGCAGCCGCGGUAAUACGUAUGUCACAAGCGUUAUCCGGAUUUAUUGGGCGUAAAGCGCGUCUAGGUGGUUAUGUAAGUCUGAUGUGAAAAUGCAGGGCUCAACUCUGUAUUGCGUUGGAAACUGUGUAACUAGAGUACUGGAGAGGUAAGCGGAACUACAAGUGUAGAGGUGAAAUUCGUAGAUAUUUGUAGGAAUGCCGAUGGGGAAGCCAGCUUACUGGACAGAUACUGACGCUGAAGCGCAAAAGCGUGGGUAGCAAACAGGAUUAGAUACCCUGGUAGUCCACGCCGUAAACGAUGAUUACUAGGGUUGGGGGUCGAACCUCAGCGCCCAAGCAAACCGAAUAAGUAUUCCGCCUGGGGAGUACGUACGCAGUAU